UCCGAUAUGGUGUAGCGGUAACAUUACCGCCUCUCAUUGGGUCAACGACUAUCGUCUGCGCGGUAGCCCGGGGUUCGACCCCCCGUGUCGGAA
This is a non-coding RNA of Mycena belliarum, 93 nucleotides long. Lineage: Eukaryota; Fungi; Basidiomycota; Agaricomycetes; Agaricales; Mycenaceae. The record is from the annotation of a GenBank genome assembly.